UUGUAAAAUAUUAUUUUAUUUAUAUAAAAUUUUAUAGAAUUAACAAAAAAAAUUAUAAGAUUAAGUAAAACAUUAGAAAAAUUAAUUUUUAAUAAUAGAGAAUUAGUAUUGAAAAAGAAAUAUUUCUUAAUUAAGAUAGAAAAAUUGAAUUUGUACCUUGUGUAUCAGGGUUUAUUAAAUAAAAAAAAUAAUAUUUUUUCUCGAAUUUAAAAGAGCUAAUAUAAAAUAUAUUUUAUUGUAGAAUAAAUAUUUAAAAUUUUAUUUUAGAAAUGAAACGUUUUUCGUUUUUAAUAUAUCUAGUUAUUUAAGAAAAAAAUUUAAUUUUUUUAUUAUAAAUAUAAUUUUUUUAUUAUUUAAUGUUAAUAAUAGAUUAUUUAAAAGGGGAUAAGCUUUUUUAAAGAGAUUGAUAAAUUUUUAGAAAUUAUAAAAUAUAUAAGAUUAGAAGUGUUUAAUAUUAAAAUAAUGUUAUAAUUAAUUAAAAUUGAAAAAUAAUUUUUAUUAAAUUUUCAUUUAUUUAUUAAAUUUUAAAUUAAAAUAAAAUUUAUUUAGUAAAAAUGAUAAAAUUAGUAAAAUUUUAAUUUGAGAAAUAUUAAAUUUAGUAAGGUUAUUUUAAAGAAUUCGGCAAAUUAUUUUUUACCUGUUUAAUAAAAACAUGUCCUAUUGAUUUUAAUUUUAGGUCUAGCCUGCCCACUGAUGUAAAAAUUAAAGGGCCGCGGUAUUUUGACCGUGCUAAGGUAGCAUAAUCAUUAGUUUUUUAAUUGAAAGCUGGAAUGAAUGGUUGGAUAAGAAAAUAACUGUUUCAAAUUAAUUUUUUUUGAAUUUUAUUUUUAAGUCAAAAAGCUUAAAUAAUUUUAAAAGACGAGAAGACCCUAUAGAGUUUAAUAUUUUUUUAAAAAAAGAAUUUUAGAAUUAAUCAAAUAUUUUUUUAAAAAAAUAUUUGAUUGGGGUGAUUGAAAAAUUGAAUUAACUUUUUUAAUAUUAAACCAUAAAUUAAUGAAUUUUUGAUCCGAUUAUAUUGAUUAUUAGAUUAAAUUACCUUAGGGAUAACAGCGUAAUUUUUAUUUAGAGUUCAAAUUAAAAUAAAAGAUUGCGACCUCGAUGUUGGAUUAAAUUUAAUUUUUGGUGCAGAAGUUAAUAAAAUUGGGUCUGUUCGACCUUUAAAAAUUUACAUGAUCUGAGUUUAAACCGGUGUGAGCCAGGUUGGUUUCUAUCUUUAAAAAUAAAUAUAUUUUAGUACGAAAGGACCAAAUAUAUAAUAAAAUAUUUUAUUAAGAAUUUUAUUAUUA
RNAcentral lists this ribosomal RNA (1286 nucleotides) under Lamiinae sp. 1 ACP-2013. RNAcentral describes it as "16S ribosomal RNA". The stretch from base 1043 to 1202 matches the Rfam family "Archaeal large subunit ribosomal RNA", at positions 2542 to 2701 of the family's 2987-position model. The record is from RNAcentral. Lineage: Eukaryota; Metazoa; Arthropoda; Insecta; Coleoptera; Cerambycidae.